This 425-nucleotide ribosomal RNA is filed under the name uncultured bacterium. RNAcentral's name for it is "bacterial SSU rRNA". It matches the Rfam family "Bacterial small subunit ribosomal RNA", at positions 354 to 796 of the family's 1533-position model. The record is from RNAcentral.
GUGGGGAAUAUUGCGCAAUGGGGGAAACCCUGACGCAGCAACGCCGCGUGAAUGAUGAAGGCCUUCGGGUUGUAAAGUUCUGUCUUCUGGGACGAUAAUGACGGUACCAGAGGAGGAAGCCACGGCUAACUACGUGCCAGCAGCCGCGGUAAUACGUAGGUGGCAAGCGUUGUCCGGAUUUACUGGGCGUAAAGGAUGCGUAGGCGGACAUUUAAGUCAGAUGUGAAAUACCCGAGCUUAACUUGGGUGCUGCAUUUGAAACUGGGUGUCUAGAGUGCAGGAGAGGUAAGUGGAAUUCCUAGUGUAGCGGUGAAAUGCGUAGAGAUUAGGAAGAACACCAGUGGCGAAGGCGACUUACUGGACUGUAACUGACGCUGAGGCAUGAAAGCGUGGGGAGCAAACAGGAUUAGAAACCCGAGUAGUCC